GUUGAUGGCGGGCCAGCAGCCGCGUGAAUACGGUCGUGCGUAUCGUUAGUCGGAUUCAGUGGGGUUAAAGGGUACGGAGGCGGCCCGGUUAGUCGGGGGUGAAAGCCCUCGGCUCAACCGAGGAAUUGCGCCCGAUACUGCAGGGCUUGAGGGAGACAGAGGUGAGCGGAACUGAUGGUGGAGCGGUGAAAUGCGUUGAUAUCAUCAGGAACACCGGUGGCGAAAGCGGCUCACUGGGUCUCUUCUGACGCUGAGGUACGAAAGCUAGGGUAGCGAAGGGGAUUAGAUACCCGAGUAGUC
This 300-nucleotide ribosomal RNA is filed under the name uncultured Sphingobium sp. RNAcentral's name for it is "bacterial SSU rRNA". It matches the Rfam family "Bacterial small subunit ribosomal RNA", at positions 496 to 795 of the family's 1533-position model. Lineage: Bacteria; Pseudomonadati; Pseudomonadota; Alphaproteobacteria; Sphingomonadales; Sphingobiaceae. The record is from RNAcentral.